This 125-nucleotide ribosomal RNA is filed under the name Erythranthe guttata (spotted monkey flower). The record is from RNAcentral. Lineage: Eukaryota; Viridiplantae; Streptophyta; Magnoliopsida; Lamiales; Phrymaceae.
GGGUGCGAUCAUACCAGCACUAAUGCACCGGAUCCCAUCAGAACUCCGAAGUUAAGCGUGCUUGGGCGAGCACGAGAGUAGUACUAGGAUGGGUGACCCCCAGGGAUGUCCUCGUGUUGCACCCC